UAUAUUUUAGUAUAUGAUGUAUAGAAGUUUUUGAUACUUCCGGAGGUAGUUUAAAUCUACCAAAUAUAA
RNAcentral lists this transfer RNA (69 nucleotides) under Pseudabris longiventris. RNAcentral describes it as "tRNA-Gln". The record is from RNAcentral. Lineage: Eukaryota; Metazoa; Arthropoda; Insecta; Coleoptera; Meloidae.